RNA transcript from Mya arenaria, 6561 nucleotides. RefSeq lists it as uncharacterized. The transcript is spliced from 11 exons. The record is from RefSeq and is a predicted model, not a curated record. Lineage: Eukaryota; Metazoa; Mollusca; Bivalvia; Myida; Myidae.
AAUGUGUGUGUCAUCUUAUUUGUUUCAUGAAUAGAACUGAGGCAUAUUACUUCCUUUUCGACUGUCUUUCGUUUAACAAUUGCAAAUUCACAUGGAAAACGGAUAUUAAAUGUACUGCAAUAUCAUUGUGUACAAAAAUGCAGUCAACGAUUUGCAUUCUCUUCAUUGCAAUAACGGCGCUUUCAGCGCUUUGAUUACUUUCAGUAUUGACGUGUCGUGCAAAGAUUGAAAUAAUUCAAGACAACGGUAUUUCGAUCGAGUUCGACAAACCACUCACGAUUAGGUGUACAAAUGACAGGACAUCUGAUGUUGAGUUUCGACAUGAACAACUUGUAGUUGCAUAUUGUUUGGGAAAACAUGGCUGCAAUAUUGAUGACGGAAGGUUUAACAUAACGCAAAACACAUCUGCGGGAAGGAACGAAUAUAUUUUGACAUCUAAAGAUACUAUUCAACCUGAUCUUUGUGGCGUAUAUGAGUGUAAAGACCUGCUUUUCCCAGAAAAGGAUUCAGCUCAAGUUUCGAUAAUAGGCUUUGACACUGAAAAAUAUAAUGCUACCGAGGAAAAAGAUACAAUUUAUCUUACAACAGCGUGUACCUUUCAUGUCUCUCUAUCAGACAUGCAGAUAGUAUGGUACACUUACGAUAAUACAAUUUUAAGGCUCCUCGAUGAGACCAGAAUGGGACAUUCAAUGACACCUUUCAACAGCGCAUCAGUUUGUUCCGAUGAAUGUGAUACAAUAUCUGCGUAUAGAUUUACUUUUGGACUGAAUAUCACUGACCAAGAGCAGGGCUACACUGAUGUAUUCAUAGAGACCGAAAUAUUCCAUCCAGAUUAUAAGAACAAACCUCUAACAUGGCGGUCUUCAAACACAUUUCGUGUUAAAGAUAGCAGUCCAAAGACAUCAAUAUCUUGGGUAGCAUUGAGCUUCAUAGUAUUGGCAUCAGUCUUGGUGACUGUAUUGAUUGCGGGCGCGAUAUAUGUUCUUAUUAGAUUCAGGAGAAGAAGAAUGAACAGAGCAGGGACAUAUAUACACACCAACACCGAGAAAAGCAUGAACAGAGCCUUACGGAUUAGGGAAAGUAUGCCUAGGUUUCGUUCAAGGGGGAAAAAAGCGGCAAAAUCGAGACACGUGGGAACACAGCCAGUCGGAGAGAGCGUUAGAGACAGCCAAUCGGGUAAAUUUUUCUUCUUACAAUUUAGUUUAUUUAGUCUUGAGUUGGAAUUGCCUCUCCUAGUAAAAAAGUAUAGAGUACUCUUGACGAAGUGUAUAUGUAUUGAGCUACGGCCAGUGUAUUAUCAAACGCGUUGUAAAUUAGAACAAUGUGUUCUCCGAUUGAUACAAUGCUCACUAUGUAUUCGAUUAAGUGUGUGGUAGUGGUUAUUAAUCGCCAUUUAGCUGAAAUGUUAAAUUAAUUAAAGGUCAAAAUUACUGAUGAUAGAAAAUUGGAUUACAAAUUCAAUAAAAAUCUAAAUAUUUUGAAACAAAAUAUCUCUGAAUGAGUUGCUAUACAUCAAGCAGUACAGUAGCUACAAUAAUGAGCGAUCAGGGAUACUUUUUUAUUAUUUUGAAAUUUCAUGUGUAUCCCUGUAACGCUACAAUUCUCUACCAUUUAACACUGGGCGAAAGAAUAUAUAGUAAUAUUAUGCAUCGAUGUUGAUUAAUAAUGAUAUAAUUGUUACAAAUGUACCUAACAGUGAUCUUAACUGGGUUGGAUUUGUCGUUAGAGUCGUUAUUUUCACAUAAAUAUACUCUGGGUCACGAAAUGAGCGUAGCAGUCCACCUUUUUUUUAUACAUGUUGAUUUUUAUCGAAUAAAUUUGUACCCAUCCGUCAAUGAUGGUUAACCCUGUGCGCAGUCACAGUUAUCCUCCCUUUUCUAUGUAUUGUGCAGAGCAACGCAACAGUGUUCAAAAAUGGUGAUACCUAAUCAUCAUCAUCAUCAUCACGAACAUCAUCAUCAUCAACUUCUCCCAACUUGACCCAUCAAACACGUUAGCGUUCAGCGCAUUGAAAUGGUUGCAUUUUAAUAGUGUUAUUUAACCGAGCCUAUUAACGACCAAAAUAUUCGAAAUCCUCUACCCCGUUUCAUACAUGUACACAACCUGUCAGAUUUGUCCUAGAUUUACAGAUUAAUGGAUACAAUCGAUGCAUGUAAGUGCAUUAUGGUAUCUGAACAUGUUUUUUUUGGCAUAAUGACAUGAAUAAAUGUGUGUUUGAUAGAAGGCAAUGAUAUUUUCGUAGAAAUUUGAAUUUAUAACAAAGAUAAUUUAAAAAUUGUGGCCGCGAGGAUCCUCUGCGCAAGGCCCGUUUGCUACUUUUUGCUGGGAUGGUGGACGUCACCAGUCUGCCAUAGUCUAAAAAUUGUCAAAAGACUGGUUGACGGCCAUUUAGGUGGACUAGCAGUACAGACGUACCAGUCCCUAAGUAAAACAUUAAAAUUGAUUUCGUUACUCGAUGCUAUUAUGAAAUAGUAUCUUGCAUUUUAGGAUAAAACUGUUUUGUUGUUGUGCAUAUUUUUUAUACAUUUCAGAUGAGGACAUCUCUGUCCAUGAAGGAAAAAUCGUUUCGAUACAUGAUAUUGAAAUGUAAGUCAUAAUCUCUUUCCAGGACAAUUUUUUGACGAAAGAGACGCUUAAAAAACAUUACUUAAAUGUUGGCAAUGCACGGCAUGUUACAUCUCAUUCAGAUUGCUUAUGAAUGAAACUCCUAUUUUAGAAACUUUUAAAUUAUUGCCAGCUUUAUUGUUAAAAUAGCUAAUACUAAAUGUUGGUCAUUAUUCACCACUAGAAACUGAUUAUAAACAUCCUUUCUGGCAGUGCCCAAAGACAUUCAUUUUCGUAUUAUUUCUUUCGCGACCUUUUAUCACGCAAACGUUUAAAUAGUGUUUUUUUUGUUAUUUUAAGCUUACAACCUUUAUUUAUUUUUAAUUUCGUUACUGAGACAUUACGUCAAAAUAAAGCUAUUUUCGUUCCAUUAUUUUAUCUGUUCAUAGUAGAGCUCUAAGUAUAGCUUGUAAUCAUCUUCUAUUAUUGUUACAGGUAUUAAGGUAUAUCCAUUGUUUUCUUCUUUUUCCAGACAGAAGUUUGAUUUAAAUUUAUGGAUUGCAUUUCGUUAGCUCUACUGUCACAAAACUGUAUAAAUAAACAGUUGUGUUUGUACUAUGUGAUAGAAUGAAUCACAUUAGAUUGAUGAACAUAUAUUUGUACAUAUAAAAAAGUGCUAAAUAAGUAAUAUUUCACUCAUUCUUAUUGGAUUGCAAAUCAGGUUCAUACUUUAUAAGCUUUUACAGUUUAGUAUUAACUUAUACUUACAAUGUGUUGCUCAUCAUAUGUAAAGUAUUAGUCUAUAUGAAAGCAGUCUUUGAAUAUUCUAUUAAAAACUAAACAACGCAAUCGUUUAAAUGUAACGUUGUGCAACAACAGUUUUUAAUGUUUGUUCACAUUAAAAUGGCAGAUCUAUAUGAACAUGAAAUAUGUCAUUUGUAACUGAUAUUUUAAAAUAUUUUUACACUGGUUUUGCAUAUGUUGACUCUGACUUGCUUGGCUUAAAGUAGUUAAUUGAAAAUAGGAAAAUGAAAUAAAUCCUUCAAUUUUGUAUGCCAUAAUUUUCAGACAAUGCACCAUUUUCGAAUGGUGAGAACCACAGUCAAUGCAAUUGGGUUGUGGACCAAAUGGCUAUAAGAACCUUUAAUAAACGAUAACGUUGUUAUACCACAUAUAUUCUGUGCAAAUAAGUGAAUGCUUAGUAAUGAUAUCACGUUUCGUAAUAGUUGAAUAAUCAUUUUUUACCCCUAUCUUAAUGUCAGUUUAACUUAACAAUUGAAAGAAAAAGGAGACGUUUUCUAGUAAACUUCGGCUUCCGUUACAAGUUUGUUUUAUAUCAUUGCGAUCCACAUUUAAAUGAUUAUUUAUUAUCAAUGCUAAUUUAAAUAGGUGAGCUUUCCUAUCAAUUUCCCCUAUAUUGUCAUAAGUAAUACCAAUUCAAUAUUGCUUUGCUAUUUCAGCACCAAAUUACAAUGUCGUCUUCAAUCUUAUCAUCGCACGUUAUUUCUACAACUGAAUUAUUUGUAAAACUUUAUUCUCGGUGAUAAUUAGGGGAUAACCUAACUUAAAAAAGAUAUUUCGAUAAAAACAAAGUGCAGUGUGGUAAAUAAGAGCAUUAAAUAAACAGUACCGCAAUUUAAACAUUCAUGCCGCCUUUCAAUUUAUCUAUGUGCAUAGAUAUCAAAGAAAUACAGUUUUAAGCUCAGUUAUUGCAGGUUUUAAACAUGUAUAAAAACAUGCAAAAUAACUUUGUGAAUUUUGCUGAGUGAUAUAUGUCUGUACAGGAUCCUUAUAUUGUCUUAUUUUCAGAGAGAGCGAUAGAGACUUGCAAUGUAUUUCAGGGGAAAAAACGCAUCAUCUUCGAGACUCUUGGAUACACAGCCAAUCGGAUGUGGACUUUCCCUAUCUCUCGAUACAUGAUACUGAACUCCAACAGAUGUUUGCUUUAUAGAUUACAUCAAAACAUAGGACCAACCUGAAUUGUGUUUCGUUAGCUCUACUGUCACCAAGUUGUAUAAAUAAACAGUUGUGUUUGUACUAUGUGAUAUAAUGAAUCACAUUAGGUUUAUGAACAUAUAUUUGUACAUAUAAAAAAGUGCUAAAACACUAUCAUUUCACUCAUCUUAUUGGAUUGCAAAUCAGGUUCAUACUUUAUAAGCUUUGACAAUUUAGUAUGAACUUAUAAUAACAAUGUGUUGCUCAUCAUAUGUAAAGUAUAAGUCUAUAUGAAAGCAGUCUUUGAAUAUUCUAUUAAAAACUAAACAACGCAAUAAAUGAAACGUUGUGCAACAACAGUUUUUAAUGUUUGUUCACAUUAAAAUGGCAGAUCUAUAUGAACAUUAAAUAUGUCAUUUGUAACUGAUAUUUUAAAAUAUUAUUACAGUGCUUUUGUAAAUAUGGACUCUGAUUUGCUUGGCUUAAAGUAGUUCAUUAAAAAUAGGAAAAUGAAAUAAAUCCUUCAAUUUUUUAGAUUAGGUCUCGAUUUGUUUCUUUAAUACGCAUCGCCCGUUGUUGUUGUCGAUGUUGUUGUUUAAUAAUUGCUCAGUAACUGUAAUAACUGCUAUUUUUAUUGACUUCUUAUCAUUUAGUAUUAGUAUACCACACUACUCAUACAACAUACACAACUAUAGAAAUAAAUACGAGCAGUUAUAAUAAGAAAGAGGUAAGGCGGCUCUUUUCUGUAUUGUGUACGUUCCAAGUCUUUUGUAUUUAAAUAAACUUAUUAUUAGAAACUGUUUCAAUUUCGUAACUAAAAUCUAUAAUACAUCUUGCAGUGUAGUACAAAUAACUUAAAAUUGUUUUCAACAUUUAAACUGUAUCCAUAUUAUUCAAAUCAUUUACAUUUUGGUUCUCCUUAUGCAGUUUGGAAUUUAGAAAUUUGCUUUCGAUUCUAUGUUCCAAAGUCCUGCAAUUAUAAACAAAUAAAACAAACACCAUAAGCAAUUACUCAUGUAUAUCCUUCUUUAAAAUGAAGAUGUUAUCUUUAAUAACUUUACGAGUAAAGUUGUCUUUAUUCCUCGACUUAAAAGCCACCCUGCCACUGAUUUUGAAUGUAUAUAAUUUUCCAUUGUUGUGUAUAUACAAACAUGCAUUACUUGACAUUUAUAUUGUAUUUGGUACCAUUAAACCUGUUGUAUAUAUGUUAUACUCUCCAUAUAAAGAGAAAAUUUUAACUGAUAUUGUAAAAUAUUUUAACAGUGUUUUUUUUAUAUUUAGAGUCUGAGUUGCUUGUUCCAUUAAUAUUAGAUAAUGAGUAAAUGUUAUGAUUUUCUUCAUAAUUUAAGGGAUAUAUUUAUCUUAUUUUGUAUAUGAAAUCCAUAUUUACACUUGUAUGUAAUAUUAUUAUGUUCAAUCAGAAUAUUUGCGAUGUGUUAAACUAUUGUACAUUUUAAGGACGACUAUACAGUACGUGUAGAAUAUACUGUUGACCAUUUAAAAUUGAAGUACCAUGGGGGUAGAGUAGACAAAAAUUGUUGGGACACCAUUUAUAGUCAGUAAUCCAUGCUCGUAAAAGGAACCAGUGAAGUAUUUAAUAACACUUUACUUGAGGACAGAAUUGUUUUUGAUUUCUAAUCUAUUUACUCAAGAACGAAUAUCCAUUCAUAUAAACGUUUCACAGAAUAACCCCUAUGUUCAUCAUAAUAAGGCCAGAAUGUUUCCAUGCCAUUACAUUCAUUUUCAACCGUAGAUCAUCUUUAGAGCAGCCAAUCAGGUACCUUCUAUUCUGAUCUCUUUCCAUUUUCGUCUGAAUUAUCUCGAAUAUUUUCCUAAAUCGAUUUCGUUUUACUUUUUGUUUGAUGUGUAAUGCGCCAUUUAUUGAUGAAUCACAUGUGCUAAUUGGGAAGACAUUAUACAUGUUGUACGAAACUUGUGUCUAACCCGGCUCUUUAACAUACGUUAUAUUUUUUGUAUACAUUUUAACUGUACUCUUGUAUAUUAUAUUAUUCUGUUUAAUCAAAACAUUUGCGAUGUUUUAAACUAUUUUACAUUUAAUAAAAGAACUUUAAAUCAUCUUGA